GUAGGUGAACCUGCGGAAGGAUCAUUCAUAAUAAAGUGUUUUAUGGCACUUUUUAAAAAUCCAUAUCCACCUUGUGUGCAAUGUUAGAUCUCGUCAAUCUUGGCGAGAUUUUUAUACAUCAACUCAUUCUUUAACUAAUUUGUCUGAAAAAUAUUAUGAAUACUAAAUUCAAAAUACAACUUUCAACAACGGAUCUCUUGGCUCUC
This 206-nucleotide unclassified non-coding RNA is filed under the name plant metagenome. RNAcentral describes it as "partial contains small subunit ribosomal RNA, internal transcribed spacer 1, and 5.8S ribosomal RNA". The record is from RNAcentral.